Camelus ferus (Wild Bactrian camel) is the source of this 72-nucleotide transfer RNA. It matches the Rfam family "tRNA". From Rfam's summary of the family: Transfer RNA (tRNA) molecules are approximately 80 nucleotides in length. The record is from Rfam. Lineage: Eukaryota; Metazoa; Chordata; Mammalia; Artiodactyla; Camelidae.
GAGGGGAUAGCUCAGUGGUAAAGUGCCUGCCCAGUGUGCACAAGGUCCUAGGUUCAAUCCCCAGUCCCUCCA